GAUUACUUUGUUCUUUCUAGUGUUUAUUAGAGGACCUGAUCGAGGGCCAAAAAAAGAGAGUAGCAUCGUCAAUCAUCAUUUGCUGUGAAGUAAAAAAAACAACCAAAUUCACGAGAGAGGACAGACCUUGAAACAAGAACCGAAGAACUUAAAUUUACGAUCAUGGUAGCUUGCAAAAACUAUGCACUCGCUUGCCCGAUGGCACGAGAUGAGAUCUGCUACCGGAGGAUUGGGCAAGGCUUAUUCAGCAAAUUGACUUAGAAAAAAGUUUGCUGGUGUAGCAAGACAUCUUGACAUGGAUUGUGAACCAUGAAGGGAAAUCCAAUAUACAGAUGAACAGAAAUCUCAGUGCAUAAAGUGGUUCUUCAGUUUCUUUUUGCUUCCCGGAGUCUUUAUGUGUGCUGCAUGAUUAUGCUAAUUCAUUCCCAUCUGCAAACCAUGAAAGAAGAGCUGGCUUGAAGAUUUGGCACACAAAACUACAGUAAGUUGGUGUCAUCGAAUUUUUCCUAUUCAAGCUACAUGUAGUUUGAAUGAGCCAGACCUAAGGAUUGUUGUUCAAAAGCUUGUUCUCAAGUUUAUAAAGGAUAAGCCAAGCAGACUUGCUUUACCAAUAAAGUUUGCAGUUGGAUGCAAUAGAAGAGGACUUGAAGAGACAGAGCUGAAGAAUUCAAAAGAUAAAUAUGAUGGUUUUGAUUUACUACCUUUGUUGGACUGCCACAAAUGCUUUGAAGUCGUAGCUGCAGUAGUUAAGGAUGCUAGAUCAGAUUCAUUUGUAGAUCUAAAAAACCCCGAGGUAGAGC
Molecule: long non-coding RNA, 800 nt
Organism: Syzygium oleosum
Lineage: Eukaryota; Viridiplantae; Streptophyta; Magnoliopsida; Myrtales; Myrtaceae
Exons: 3
Source: RefSeq, a predicted model, not a curated record